RNAcentral lists this ribosomal RNA (429 nucleotides) under uncultured archaeon. RNAcentral describes it as "bacterial SSU rRNA". It matches the Rfam family "Archaeal small subunit ribosomal RNA", at positions 474 to 903 of the family's 1478-position model. The record is from RNAcentral.
UACCUGCAGCUCAAGUAGUGACCACUAUUAUUGGGCCUAAAACGUUCGUAGCCGGUUUGGUAAAUGCCUGGGUAAAUCGUGUAGCUUAACUAUACGAAUUCCGGGUAGACUGCCAAACUUGAAACCGGGAGAAGCUAGAGGUACUCCUGGGGUAGAGGUGAAAUUCUGUAAUCCUAGGGGGACCACCAGUGGCGAAGGCGUCUAGCUAGAACGGGUUUGACGGUGAGGAACGAAGCCCUGGGGCGCAAACCGGAUUAGAUACCCGGGUAGUCCAGGGUGUAAACGCUGCUUGCUUGAUGUUAGUUGGGCUCCGAGCCCAAUUAGUGUCGGAGAGAAGUUGUUAAGCAAGCUGCCUGGGAAGUACGAUCGCAAGAUUGAAACUUAAAGGAAUUGGCGGGGGAGCACAGCAACGGGUGGAGCGUGCGGUUU